CAGUGCAUUGCUAAACAGUGUAAUCUGCAGAGUCAAGCAGGGGUGUUCGGUUUCCUGUGUACAUGCACAUUAAAACCACUAGCUUACAGGAAAUGACAAGGCAAACAAACAAACAAGGAAAGAAAUGGCAAAGAAGUGUCUACAGCAUUAUAUUAUUGGCAAUGAACCCACACGCUCUGGUUAAUUAAUCACUGCGACCAUGAUCACAAGGGAGAUGGACAGUAGGCAACACCAGCCGACCAAGAAGCUGAACUUGUAGCUGUGGUUCUGCAUUGCUACAUGAACGUAUCAGAGAAAACAGGUUGUUAAUAGAGAAGCCACACAAUCUGUAGUAACACCACCAAUCAUGGAGCUUCUCAUUUAAAAGCAAACGUGAAGAUUAAAAUAGCUGCUGAUAUGAAGGGUGCUCAGCAUUUAUGUGGUGUGUGUGUGUGUGUGUUAUUUCAAGUGGAGCUAAAACAGUGCUGAGUGAUGUGACAGAACAGUGGGUUUUCACCUUUCCAAGGUGUUUUCCCCUUUAACCCACACACAGAAUUCACCCACAGGUGAGUGAAACAUCAAGUCCUACAUUGAAUUAGACAACAACUUGGCAUGUACAGUUUCUAGGUCUCAGGGAAUUCUUCACAAAGUCUGAGUUCUUUUACAGUGUGGGUGUCAAAGUAAAUUGUACACAGUUGCUUUUCAUUAGGAAUCCUAGGAACAGGAAACACACGUGGUUAUUAGUGGUAAAUAUGAUCGUAUAAUUUUGAAUUCUAUCUAUCUAUCUAUCUAUCUAUCUAUCUAUCUAUCUAUCUAUCUAUCUAUCUAUCUAUCUAUCUAUCUAUCUAUCUAUCUAUCUGUCUGUCUGUCUGUCUGUCUGUCUGUCUGUCUAUCUAUCUAUCUAUAUGUGGGGAGAGAGAGAGAGAGAGAGAGAGAGAGAGAGAUAGAAUAUAUAUAUAUAUAGAUGCUGAUUUAUUAUCAGCAUGUCUGAGCAUAUAUCCUCUUUUCAUACUGUUGCAUAUUUGUAUUACAUCACUUUUAAGGUCUUCCAUUUCUUAUCACAUUCAUUAAUGUACUAUACUUAAUUAAUGCCACAAGCCUUAAAUUACUCUGCACAUUAUAAUUAUUUCUUGCCCAUUAUCCACAGCUCUAUGCCAAGAUAGCAAGUAAAUUCAAAUAAUACCUCUGUAAGUCUAACUUGAAAUCAUAUUUCUAUGAAUCAGUUAAGAGAGAAUGUACUCACCUCAUGUAGUGUAAAGACCAAUGAACUAAUAUGUGUUUGUUCCAGUCACAUACAUCAACUCUGCCCACAGGAUUUCCCCUAGUUUGAUCUCUUUUGGUACAGAGAUUCACUCUCUCACUCACCCUGUGGUUGGAAAAGAAACUCAAGCAACGUGGACAUCUUCUUCUUAUAGAUUUAGAGAAAGUUCAGCUCAAGUUAUCAUUUCCCAGAGCUAUGAAGUCACGUGAUGACCAUGACAUAUACAACAAAUUCAAUAUGUUUGAAACCAAAGUAGGUUUUCUGAAGUAUUUCAGCUUUUGUCGCAUUCAAAGUCUUUGACUGCUUCAGAUUCAGUGCAUCUAUAUUAACUAUAUUACAUACUGGUUUUUAUCACUGAUUAAAUGGGUUUUAAGGUUCAGUUAAACUAUAGAAUUUAAUCAUCUGGACAAUUUCUCAGUAUGUGCAUGGUGAUGCAAUGGAUAGCUCAUGGUCCCCGGUUUGACUCUCCAGUUCUCUGAGUUUUUUACUCUGCCUUCUAAAAACAUUCCAGCAGGCAUGCCUGUACUAAAUUGCCCCUGUAAUUGCUUCUCAUUCAUUACAUCACACAUACUUUUCCAGGAAAAAUGACAAUUUGAUAAUGAAAUAAGAUUAAAAAUCAUGUUUCACAGAUGUUCCUUUAUUUAGGCUGUCAUUUAAAAAAAAAAUGCAUGGCUUUUUCUUCUAUUCUCCAAUGGAAUUAUAUACUUGGCUUUUUAUAAUUGCUUCCAACCUUAUUUGCAUACUAUGAAAUAAAAAAUAAAUAUUCUCAGCACACCAAGGCCGCCAUUUAUUAUUUAUUAUUUUAAAAAAAAAGAAGAAGAAGAAAGAAAUACAUGCAAGGUAUUCAUGUAAAAUGAAAUGCAAUUGACUUCCACAUUUCGAGUGACAAUACUUGUCUCAGGGUUCUUUUUUUUUCUUCUUUUUUUCACAGACUAAUUCAGUGGUGUUCAAUAUAUGGGACAACCCCGGGUAAGCCACUUGUACUUUCCUGCAAAGACACAGAGACACCCACGCAACAACAUACCCCACCCACAAGAUAUAAACACACAUACUCAGACUGGUGCUGUCCCUGGAUCAUGCAACUUACAAGGUUAUAACAUAAACAACAAUAAAUCAGCUAUAUUUCUGCAGGUGAAAUGCAGAAGUACUUAUUUAGUGUCAAAAGGUUACCAGCUGACUUGUUAGCUUUGCUUCUUUUCUCACGUCGCACAUAUUUGGCAAAAACAUAGAAGAAAAUAAUGAAAAUGUAAUAAAAUUUAUUAUAAAAAAAAAGAAAAGAAGACAUAAUCAGUGUACUCACAUAACAAACAUUCAGCAUUUAUCAAAGAAGGAAGAACAUAGUUCAGAGAAAGGCUGAAACAAACAUCAACAUGUAGGUGGACAGUGAUUGUGUGGGAAACUCUUUUGCAGAGCUGUAAGAGUUUUUUCCCCCAUGUUGGCUGCUAAAGCACAGGCAAAUGUCUUUCUGUUUUCAUUUGUAUGGGAGGAAAAACAGAAAGCGAAACAGAGGGAAUGAGAAACAUAAAAGUGUUGAUAUGUUAAAAACAGCAUUACUGUUCCAUUCAUGUCCACAGAGCAAGUAAAAUGACAUUCCUCUUGUGGUUACCUACACAAUCAUGAAACACUGGCUGAAUUCCCCGCUAUGUCUUGGCCUAGUUUUUGUCACACACCUGAUUUGAAAACGUGAUAACGGUGCAGAGUCUGAAGCAUAGGGCCAAACACAUACACUGAAUAACAGAGAAAAGACACAGGGCAGGGGCAGAUUUCCUUCUAGUUCAGUCUAUACAUUCCUGCAACCUAUCAGGGACAGUGUCAAGUAAGUACAGAGAGUGAAAUGCCCACUAGCUUUGAUUUUCCUGAUUAAAAUUGCACUACAGUUAUAUUAUAUUAUUCAUUAUAGUCGAGCUGUUCUGCCACAAACCUGUAUUCAUUAUUAUAUUUUUAUAUUGUCUAUUUAGUUUCCCCUUUCCUACUUCCUACUGUAAAUAUAUUCUAUUUUUAUUGUAAUUCUAUUGUUUUCCACUUCACUGCAUGUCGUAUUGUGUGCGGUUGUGUAUGUGACAAAUAAAAUUUAAUGAAACAAUUUUCACCGACUCGUCGGCUAUAAAUCAUUAGCCGCGAUUGAGAAGGUACAUGUGAAUUACGUUAGGGAGUGUAAACAUACAUGAGGCAGAUUAUUCAGUCUUGAUGGAGAUAAAAUUAGACAGAGAGAGCAUACAUCAUUAUAGUAUAAAUUACAGGACCGAUGUUUGAACUGUAGGUUUAGUUGGGGGGGGGGGGGGGGUAUAUCUUUGUUUUUUGUUUAUAUUGUUUUUAAUCCUACCAUUUAAUAUCACAACUAGUCUUCCCUGCUCAGGAUGUACUGUCUCGAGCUCCUAAGGCACAUUACUUGAGCAUGCUUUAUGCUAAUAAACUUUAGGGUUAUACUGAAAUACUAUUUAUAGCAAAAGUCUAAAACUCGUGUCCUUGAGGGCCACAGCGUUCACCUUCUUCACCUUCUCAGCCCAUGAAAGUAUAUUUUAAUUAGCUGAAUCUAGAGUAUUAAAUAAGGUAGCAUGCUAAACCUUGGAAGCAUGGCCCUGAAAUGGAUUUAUAGUGCUUAGAACCUUAUUUACAUACAUUUUACAUAUUAAAGAAGUGUAAUAACCACAAAAUCACCACAAAAUCACAGACUUUAUUUGAUUGAUGUAAAUCUGACAGCUCUAAAUCGUCAAACUAAUAAAAUGUAGACAGCUCUGCUUCUCCAGGAGAGGAUCUUCAUCUUGUACAUGCUGAAGUCUCUUCAUCACAGGUGAGCCACUACGAGUAGUCAGCACUGAGGAAUACAUAUGAAUAUUUUAAAUACGAUAUAUGUAUUCAUGUAUUCAUAAUUCCUCUGAAAUGAUAUUACUUGAGUGUUAUUAUUUCAGCUGAAAAAGAGAAUGGAUAUUAUAGCUAUUCACUAUAACAACAGUGCUGAGAACGAAGCUGUAUGAAUUUUCAGGAAGGAUCAGACACACAGCUGCUCUCAGGUCAUCUCAUUACCUCCGCUUUUUUUUUUCUUCCAGCUUACAAAACUCUGAAACAGGAGAGAGAUAUUUAUGACAGACAUGGGGAUUGUCCACUGAACAUAUAAAGACAGAAUCAGUACAUCACAUUGCACUGGCAUUUUUCUGAGUAGGUGCAUUUCUCUAUUCUCUGUAAUUUGCACCGAGUUAACAGAAGCACCUGCGGAACUUUCAAAGAAGCAGUAGCAAAUUAUCACGCACCUUUUGUCCGUGGAGUUAUUGAAAACUUGUCAAUAAGACUGAAGCAUUUCAUUUUUGCCUUAAAGUUGUUCACCAAGUCCUCUGUCGACUCGUUACGUGC
Molecule: long non-coding RNA, 4588 nt
Organism: Hemibagrus wyckioides
Lineage: Eukaryota; Metazoa; Chordata; Actinopteri; Siluriformes; Bagridae
Exons: 2
Source: RefSeq, a predicted model, not a curated record